GAUGAACGCUGGCGGCGUGCCUAAUACAUGCAAGUCGAGCGAACAGACGCUGAUCUUGCUCCUCUGACGUUUGCGGCGGACGUGUGUGUCACACGUGUAUACCCUACCUAUAAUACUGGGAUAACUUCGGGAAACCGGAUCUAAUCCCGGAUAAUCUCUUGAACCGCAUGGGUCAAUAGUGAAAUACGGUUUUGCUGUCACUUAUAGCUGGUUCCGCGCCGCAUUAGCUAGUAGUUACGGUAACGGCUUACCAAGGCAACGAUGCGUAUCCGACCUGAUAGGGUGAUAGGCCACACUGGAGCGGGGACACCGUCCAGACUCCUACGGGAGGCAGCAGUAGGGUAUCGUCCGCAAUGGGCGAAAGCAUGACGGAGCAACGCCGCGUGUGUGAUGAAGGUCUUCGGAUCGUAAAACUCUGUUAUUAGUGAAGAACAAAUGUGGAAGGAACUAUGGACGUAUUGACGGUACCUAAUCAGAAAGCCACGGCUAACUACGUG
This 497-nucleotide ribosomal RNA is filed under the name uncultured bacterium. RNAcentral describes it as "partial 16S ribosomal RNA". It matches the Rfam family "Bacterial small subunit ribosomal RNA", at positions 28 to 507 of the family's 1533-position model. The record is from RNAcentral.